This 802-nucleotide ribosomal RNA is filed under the name uncultured Actinomycetes bacterium. RNAcentral's name for it is "bacterial SSU rRNA". It matches the Rfam family "Bacterial small subunit ribosomal RNA", at positions 80 to 896 of the family's 1533-position model. Lineage: Bacteria; Bacillati; Actinomycetota; Actinomycetes. The record is from RNAcentral.
UGCUGGGGUACACGAGUGGCGAACGGGUGAGUAACACGUGGGUGACCUGCCCUGCACUUCGGGAUAAGCCUGGGAAACUGGGUCUAAUACCGGAUAGGACCGCACCGUGAGGGUGUGGUGGAAAGUUUUUUCGGUGUGGGAUGGGCCCGCGGCCUAUCAGCUUGUUGGUGGGGUAAUGGCCUACCAAGGCGGCGACGGGUAGCCGGCCUGAGAGGGUGGACGGCCACAUUGGGACUGAGACACGGCCCAGACUCCUACGGGAGGCAGCAGUGGGGAAUAUUGCACAAUGGGCGGAAGCCUGAUGCAGCGACGCCGCGUGGGGGAUGACGGCCUUCGGGUUGUAAACUCCUUUCACCAUCGACGAAGGGUUUCUGACGGUAGAUGGAGAAGAAGCACCGGCUAACUACGUGCCAGCAGCCGCGGUAAUACGUAGGGUGCGAGCGUUGUCCGGAAUUACUGGGCGUAAAGAGCUCGUAGGUGGUUUGUCGCGUCGUCUGUGAAAUUCCGGGGCUUAACUCCGGGCGUGCAGGCGAUACGGGCAUAACUUGAGUACUGUAGGGGAGACUGGAAUUCCUGGUGUAGCGGUGAAAUGCGCAGAUAUCAGGAGGAACACCGGUGGCGAAGGCGGGUCUCUGGGCAGUAACUGACGCUGAGGAGCGAAAGCAUGGGGAGCGAACAGGAUUAGAUACCCCUGGUAGUCCAUGCCGUAAACGGUGGGCGCUAGGUGUGGGUUUCCUUCCACGGGAUCCGUGCCGUAGCUAACGCAUUAAGCGCCCCGCCUGGGGAGUACGCCGCAAGGCUA